GCAGUCGCCGCGGGAAUACGGAGGGUGCAAGCGUUAAUCGGAAUUACUGGGCGUAAAGCGCACGCAGGCGGUCUGACAAGUCAGAUGUGAAAUCCCCGGGCUUAACCUGGGAACUGCAUUUGAAACUGUCAGGCUGGAGUCUUGUAGAGGGGGGUGGAAUUCCAGGUGUAGCGGUGAAAUGCGUAGAGAUCUGGAGGAAUACCGGUGGCGAAGGCGGCCCCCUGGACAAAGACUGACGCUCAGGUGCGAAAGCGUGGGGAGCAAACAGGAUUAGAUACCCCUGUAGUCCCUGUCUCUUAUAA
This 302-nucleotide ribosomal RNA is filed under the name uncultured bacterium. RNAcentral's name for it is "partial 16S ribosomal RNA". It matches the Rfam family "Bacterial small subunit ribosomal RNA", at positions 508 to 809 of the family's 1533-position model. The record is from RNAcentral.